Molecule: ribosomal RNA, 405 nt
Filed under: alpha proteobacterium BAL233
Lineage: Bacteria; Pseudomonadati; Pseudomonadota; Alphaproteobacteria
Description: bacterial SSU rRNA
Rfam family: Bacterial small subunit ribosomal RNA
Source: RNAcentral
AUGCCUAACACAUGCAAGUCGAACGAAGGCUUCGGCCUUAGUGGCGCACGGGUGCGUAACGCGUGGGAAUCUGCCCCUUGGUUCGGAAUAACAGUUAGAAAUGACUGCUAAUACCGGAUGACGACGUAAGUCCAAAGAUUUAUCGCCGAGGGAUGAGCCCGCGUAGGAUUAGCUAGUUGGUGUGGUAAAGGCGCACCAAGGCGACGAUCCUUAGCUGGUCUGAGAGGAUGAUCAGCCACACUGGGACUGAGACACGGCCCAGACUCCUACGGGAGGCAGCAGUGGGGAAUAUUGGACAAUGGGCGAAAGCCUGAUCCAGCAAUGCCGCGUGAGUGAUGAAGGCCUUAGGGUUGUAAAGCUCUUUUACCCGGGAUGAUAAUGACAGUACCGGGAGAAUAAGCUCCG